CCUACGGGAGGCUGCAGUGGGGAAUAUUGCACAAUGGGGGGAACCCUGAUGCAGCGACGCCGCGUGAGUGAAGAAGUAUUUCGGUAUGUAAAGCUCUAUCAGCAGGGAAGAAAAUGACGGUACCUGACUAAGAAGCCCCGGCUAACUACGUGCCAGCAGCCGCGGUAAUACGUAGGGGGCAAGCGUUAUCCGGAUUUACUGGGUGUAAAGGGAGCGCAGACGGCUGUGCAAGUCUGUAGUGAAAGGCGGGGGCACAACCCCCGGACUGCUCUGGAAACUGUAAAGCUGGAGUGCAGGAGAGGUAAGCGGAAUUCCUAGUGUAGCGGUGAAAUGCGUAGAUAUUAGGAGGAACACCAGUGGCGAAGGCGGCUUACUGGACUGCAACUGACGUUGAGGCUCGAAAGCGUGGGGAGCAAACAGGAUUAGAUACCCGUGUAGUC
RNAcentral lists this ribosomal RNA (440 nucleotides) under uncultured bacterium. Its description in RNAcentral is "partial 16S ribosomal RNA". It matches the Rfam family "Bacterial small subunit ribosomal RNA", at positions 338 to 795 of the family's 1533-position model. The record is from RNAcentral.